Molecule: long non-coding RNA, 456 nt
Organism: Cyprinus carpio carpio
Lineage: Eukaryota; Metazoa; Chordata; Actinopteri; Cypriniformes; Cyprinidae
Source: Ensembl
GCGUUCGGUGUGAUCUUCUAAACUCAGGGCUGUUUCUGUGUGUUAUCGUUUUCCUGCAGGCGCCUCCAUCCGUCCGUAACUUACUACUGUCCCCUGCUGGCCGUCCACAGCACUCUACAGGACCCCUGGCUCUGUGUGUGUGUGUGUGUGUGUUGAGCUGCAGUAAAUGUGUCUGGAGUAACACACACUGGACUGUGUUUGUAAUUGUGCUGAAACGCUGAGAGGAAGAGCUCAUCCGAACAGCACGUUUGCUGGGGUUUUUCUGCGGGGGGUUAAACGUCUCGGCUGACAGUUCACGGAUGUGCAGUCAGGUUACUCAUGUCAAAUGACCAAUUAAAGGGGCUAUAGAGGAUGGCAGGGCGGUCUCUAGUGCUGCGCUCUCACGGGACACCAAUCAAACGAGAGCUCUAUCACUCAAAUAUAAACUGGAUUCAUUCAUUAGCCAUUUACCAGCCC